Molecule: ribosomal RNA, 498 nt
Filed under: uncultured bacterium
Lineage: Bacteria
Description: partial 16S ribosomal RNA
Rfam family: Bacterial small subunit ribosomal RNA
Source: RNAcentral
GACGAACGCUGGCGGCGUGCCCAAUACAUGCAAGUCGAACGAGAGCGACCGGUGCUUGCACUGGUCAAUCUAGUGGCGAACGGGUGAGUAACACGUGGGUAACCUGCCCAUCAGAGGGGGAUAACAUCCGGAAACGGAUGCUAAAACCGCAUAGGUCUUCGAGCCGCAUGGCUUGAAGAGGAAAAGAGGCGCAAGCUUCUGCUGAUGGAUGGACCCGCGGUGCAUUAGCUAGUUGGUGAGGUAACGGCUCACCAAGGCCGUGAUGCAUAGCCGACCUGAGAGGGUGAUCGGCCACAUUGGGACUGAGACACGGCCCAAACUCCUACGGGAGGCAGCAGUAGGGAAUCUUCCGCAAUGGACGCAAGUCUGACGGAGCAACGCCGCGUGAGUGAAGAAGGUUUUCGGAUCGUAAAACUCUGUUGUUAGAGAAGAACAAGUGCUAGAGUAACUGUUAGCGCCUUGACGGUAUCUAACCAGAAAGCCACGGCUAACUACGUG